UCUUNCGCAAUGGACGAAAGUNUGACGGAGCAACGCCGCGUGAGUGAUGAAGGUUUUCGGAUCGUAAAGCUCUGUUGUUAGGGAAGAACAAGUGCCGUUCAAAUAGGGCGGCACCUUGACGGUACCUAACCAGAAAGCCACGGCUAACUACGUGCCAGCAGCCGCGGUAAUACGUAGGUGGCAAGCGUUGUCCGGAAUUAUUGGGCGUAAAGGGCUCGCAGGCGGUUUCUUAAGUCUGAUGUGAAAGCCCCCGGCUCAACCGGGGAGGGUCAUUGGAAACUGGGGAACUUGAGUGCAGAAGAGGAGAGUGGAAUUCCACGUGUAGCGGUGAAAUGCGUAGAGAUGUGGAGGAACACCAGUGGCGAAGGCGACUCUCUGGUCUGUAACUGACGCUGAGGAGCGAAAGCGUGGGGAGCGAACAGGAUUAGAUACCCUGGUAGUCCACGCCGUAAACGAUGAGUGCUAAGUGUUAGGGGGUUUCCGCCCCUUAGUGCUGCAGCUAACGCAUUAAGCACUCCGCCUGGGGAGUACGGUCGCAAGACUGAAACUCAAAGGAAUUGACGGGGGCCCGCACAAGCGGUGGAGCAUGUGGUUUAAUUCGAAGCAACGCGAAGAACCUUACCAGGUCUUGACAUCCUCUGACANCCCUAGAGAUAGGGCUUCCCCUUCGGGGGCAGAGUGACAGGUGGUGCAUGGUUGUCGUCAGCUC
RNAcentral lists this ribosomal RNA (709 nucleotides) under Bacillus atrophaeus. RNAcentral's name for it is "bacterial SSU rRNA". It matches the Rfam family "Bacterial small subunit ribosomal RNA", at positions 362 to 1061 of the family's 1533-position model. Lineage: Bacteria; Bacillati; Bacillota; Bacilli; Caryophanales; Bacillaceae. The record is from RNAcentral.